UGCCAGCCGCCGCGGUAACACGGGGGGCGCAAGCGUUAUUCGGAAUUAUUGGGCGUAAAGGGCGCGCAGGCGGUCUUGUCAGUCAGGUGUGAAAUCCCGUGGCUCAACCACGGAACUGCAUUGGAAACUAGCAGACUAGAGUAUUGGAGAGGUAAGUGGAAUUCCUGGUGGAGCGGUGGAAUGCGUAGAUAUCAGGAAGAACACCGAGAGCGAAGGCAGCUUACUGGACAAUUACUGACCCUCAGGGACGAAAGCAUGGGUAGCAAACAGGAUUAGAUA
This 279-nucleotide ribosomal RNA is filed under the name uncultured bacterium. RNAcentral describes it as "partial 16S ribosomal RNA". It matches the Rfam family "Bacterial small subunit ribosomal RNA", at positions 506 to 784 of the family's 1533-position model. The record is from RNAcentral.